This 492-nucleotide ribosomal RNA is filed under the name uncultured bacterium. RNAcentral describes it as "bacterial SSU rRNA". It matches the Rfam family "Bacterial small subunit ribosomal RNA", at positions 28 to 480 of the family's 1533-position model. The record is from RNAcentral.
GACGAACGCUGGCGGCGUGCCUAAUACAUGCAAGUCGAACGCACUCUCGUUUAGAUUGGAGGAGCUUGCUCCUGAUUGAUAAACAUUUGAGUGAGUGGCGGACGGGUGAGUAACACGUGGGUAACCUGCCCUAAAGUGGGGAUAACAUUUGGAAACAGAUGCUAAUACCGCAUAAAACCUAACACCGCAUGGUGUAGGGUUGAAAGAUGGUUUCGGCUAUCACUUUAGGAUGGACCCGCGGUGCAUUAGUUAGUUGGUGAGGUAAAGGCUCACCAAGACCGUGAUGCAUAGCCGACCUGAGAGGGUAACCGGCCACACUGGGACUGAGACACGGCCCAGACUCCUACGGGAGGCAGCAGUAGGGAAUCUUCCACAAUGGACGAAAGUCUGAUGGAGCAACGCCGCGUGAGUGAAGAAGGUUUUCGGAUCGUAAAACUCUGUUGUUGGAGAAGAAUGUAUCUGAUAGUAACUGAUCAGGUAGUGACGGUAUCC